AGUAUGCAGAUUUCACCCCAUUAAGUAGGGUUUGUAAAAAACACCAAACAACAAGCUCCACAUCAACACAGCUUGAAGUAAAGCUGACUCAUAAACAACAACCUCAUUUUUUCAGUAAUAUCAGAGUCACAGUGAGAAUUUUCCAGCCUCAUCACUUUCUCGUUGGGCUGCCAAAAAAUGCCUUCAUUGUAUUCCUUAGGAGCAUUACCUGUUUAAGCAACCAAGAACAAGCAACUGUGGCUUGAUGUGGAAAGUAGGUACCAUUAUGGUAUUGGAAAAAUUACUGCAAGACCUGAUGUUAAAGUUUAAACAAAUCGCAAAUGGAAAGAAGGGUUUUCACAGUGCUUUAAAUUACAGAGCCUUUUUAAUGCUUUCUAUUGGAAAACCUAUCCAUUGUGAUGACACAGAGGUGUUGGACCCUUGUAGAGGCCUUGAGCAGUCUGUUAAAACUACAACAGUGUCAUUAUCUAGGCUUAAGCUAAACAGAUCAAAUGUUCAAUUUAGGGCAAAUUUACAGUUCUUAUUGUAUAGAAUCUUCUAAAAAAAACAACUCAUAAAAUCAGUCACAUACUUAUGCAGCAAUGCCAACAGCCAGCAUCAAACAUCGGCGAGCAAAGCCAUGGGUUCUCAAGUGCACUGUCUUGAAGACAAAGUAGGUCUCUGAGGAUCCUUGCAAGCUCAUCUUAAGACACAGAAGCAGAUGUUGAAGUGGAAUCCAGCCUUCUAUAAAGAAAGCCAAACUGUUUCAUACCAAUUAAAAGCUUCUGAUUGUGAAUGA
Long non-coding RNA from Vidua macroura (Pin-tailed whydah), 778 nucleotides. RefSeq lists it as uncharacterized. The transcript has 3 exons. The record is from RefSeq and is a predicted model, not a curated record. Lineage: Eukaryota; Metazoa; Chordata; Aves; Passeriformes; Viduidae.